UUUAAAAUUCAAAUUUAUCUGGGCUUCCUAUAUUUUAUCUGGCAACCCUAACAUUAACUUCUUUGAUAAAAGUCAGUGUUUCACAUUUUAAUUGAAAAAUUUUGAUGAGAAAAAGGGUAAGAUGGCAGCCAGCCCCAUCUACUGUAUGAAAUGGCUUUAGGAAAGUCACUUGCUAACUUUCUGGCAUCAUCUUAACCCCAGAAUUGUCUCUCUCUCUCAUGAAAGUUAUUGUCUCCUUUCCUUUCCUGGACAACUGAACAUUCUCCUACACCCAAACUCCCUAAUUUUCCUGCCCAAAUUGUCUCUAACUCAGCUAAACUAUUCCCUAGUUUGGGGGCACUAAAGUCACCAAGAGAGCCAGUCCAUGGGAGGUAAUUCAUCAGCCCGAGCUGCCCCCAAGCACAUUGGCUGUGCAGUGUACUAGUAAAUGACUGAAUUUGAAGAUUUAUAUUCUAUAAAAGUUAUUCAUGUCCCAUUCUAUCAUCUGUACAAUAUCAGCACUUUACACAUUGAGAAAGAUGAUAUAGCAACUAACAAAUCCUACUGAAUCCUCUAUCUGCAGCCACUGCAUUAAGAACUAUAAAACCAGGAUGCAAAGACAUUGUCCUUGUUCACAAAGGCUCCUGUAUUAGUCCAUUAUCACACUGCUAUAAAGAACUGCCUGAGACUUGGUAAUUUGGAAAGGAAGAGGUUUAAUUGACUCACAGUUCCGCAUGGCUGGGGAGGCCUCAGGAAACUUACAAUCAUGGCAGAAGGGGAGGCAAACACAUCCUCUUCAUAUGAUGGCAGGAAGGAGAAGUGCCAAGCAAAGAGGGAAAAGCCCCUUACAAAACCAUCAGAUCUUGUGAGAACUCAGUCACUAUCAUGAGAACAGCAGCAUGGAGGUAAUGGGAAUGUGGGGAUUUUGGGAACUACAAUUCAAGAUGAGACUUGGGCAGGGACACAGCCAAACCAUAUCAGCUCCUUUUCUAAUUCAGAUACAGACAAUUAGUUACGAACACAAUAAGCUAACUUCGCUAAAGAAGAAAUAAAAAAAAAAUCAAGGGUGUGUCAGUAGGUGAAUUUUGGAGAACUGAGGCCCAAAUUCACGCAAGAAAGAGGCAAGGCCAUUUAUUAGUGUUGCUCUCCCACCAGCCCUGACAGGUUGCAUCAUUUUUAUUCCCUUGAACAGACAAGAGAAGUGGCAACCAGAGUUGUUGAUAGUAUAGUCGGCCCUCCAUAGCCAUGGUUUCUCCAUCCAUGGAUUCAGUGUGAAUUGAAAAUAUUCGGGAAAAAAAUUACAUCUUGGGAGGCUGAGGCAGGAAGAUAGCUAGAGCCCGGGAGUGUGAAGCCACGGUGAGCUAUGCAUCACAGCACUCCAGCCUAGGCAACACAGGGAAACCUUGUCCUAAAAAGAAAAAACAAUUUAUGUGUACUGAAAAAGUACAGACUUUUUUUUCUUGUCAUUAUUCUCUAAACAGUACAACUAUUAACAUAUCAUUUACAUUGUAUUAGGUAUUAUAAGUCAUCCAGCGAUGAUUUAAAGUAUACAUGAAGUUGUGCAUAGGUUAUAUGCAAACCCUACAUUAUCUUGUAUCAGGGACUUGAGCAUCCGUGGAUUUGGGUAUGGGGGGUGGCUCCUGGACCCAGUCCCUCAGGAUACCGAGGGAUGAUUGUAAUUCAUCAACAGAAACUUGCCCUGGGUCACAAAACUGGUAAGGGACAGGACCAUAAUACAAACCCAGAUGUCUUCAAUGUUAAAGCCUAUCUUUUUAUUUUAAGUUUUAAUUUUUUCCUAAGUGGCACACAUACAUAAUUAGAUGGUUGGCACACACAUGCGCAUGUGUGCAUAUGUCAUGGGGUGUUCAGUUGACCAACUAUCCUGGUUUGCCCGGAACUGGUGAAUUUUCUGGGUCAUGAGGCCUUUAGUGCUAAAACUGGUAAAAUUAAACUUGAAAAGUCCCAGGCAAAUUGGGAUGAGUUGGUCAUUCUAGCCUGGCCUUCCUUUUCCAGGAAGUAUUUGAAAAUAUGUGAGGGCAGUUUUCUUCCCUCCCUCCCUUCUCCUCAUUCUCUUUCCUUUGUUACUGCUACAGUGCCCAGGGUAGGGGGUUGGGGUUAGACAUUACUGGUAUUUUGGGAAGGGGCUGGGCAAAGACUGCUAAGUAUUUUGCAGUUUGCACUGGGUGGGAUGGUCCCACCCAGUGAAAAGUAUGUAAAAUUUUAUUUUUACAUCCUCCUGAGUUAGCCUUUUGUCAGCUUUACAACCCAGAUUGUUUUUUUCAGAAAUCUGAGAGCCAUCUUUUUGAAAUGCAAACACCUAGGAAAAUAAUGUCUCUAUGUUCCAUUCACUGUGGAAGUUUAACCUCUGAGCACCUUUCUGUCUCUAUCUUCACCUGUUUGUCACAAAGUUCUUAUCAGAGAGUCUAUCAAUUAUUUUUCAUGAAGAACUCUUUCCUGGAAACUUCUGACCUGCUCCCGUCUCAGAACAGUGGUGUCCAAUCUUUUGCCUUCCCUGGCCACAUUGGAAGAAGAAUUGUCUUGGUCCACACAUAAAAUACGCUAACACUAAUGAUAGCUGAUAAGCUAAAAAAAAAAAAAAAAAAAAUCCCAUAAUGUUUUAAGAAAGUUUAUGGGCCAUACACAGUGGCUUACACCUGUAAUCCCAGCACUUUGGGAGGCCGAGGCAGACAGAUAACCUGAAGUUGGGAGUUUGAGACCAGCCCGACCAACAUGGAGAAACCCCAUCUCUACUAAAAAUACAAAAUUAGCCAGGUGUGGUGGCGCAUGCCUGUAAUCCCAGCUACUUGGGAGGCUGAGGCAGGAGAAUUGCUUGAACCCAGGAGGCGGAGGUUGCGGUGAGCUGAGAUUG
Long non-coding RNA from Pongo pygmaeus (Bornean orangutan), 2848 nucleotides. RefSeq lists it as uncharacterized. The transcript has 3 exons. The record is from RefSeq and is a predicted model, not a curated record. Lineage: Eukaryota; Metazoa; Chordata; Mammalia; Primates; Hominidae.